Molecule: ribosomal RNA, 274 nt
Filed under: uncultured prokaryote
Description: partial 16S ribosomal RNA
Rfam family: Bacterial small subunit ribosomal RNA
Source: RNAcentral
UGGGGAAUCCUGGUCAAUGGGCGAAAGCCUGAACCUGCGACGCCGCGUGAGUGAUGAAGGUCGUAAGAUCGUAAAACUCUUUUCAGGGAUCUUAAAGCCUGUCUGUCAACAACAGGCAGGUCUGACUCUCCCUGGAAGAAGCCCCAGCCAACUACGUGCCCGCAGCUGCGGUAAUACGUAGGGGGCGAGCGUUAUUCGGAAUUACUGGGUGUAAAGGGUAUGUAGGCGGCCCUUCAAGUCGCGUGUCAAAGUCCAGGGCGCAACGCUGGGUGUG